Long non-coding RNA from Eupeodes corollae, 1013 nucleotides. RefSeq lists it as uncharacterized. The transcript has 3 exons. NCBI's taxonomy places the organism in Eukaryota, Metazoa, Arthropoda, Insecta, Diptera, Syrphidae. The record is from RefSeq and is a predicted model, not a curated record.
AACAACUUAAUCUGUAAAAAUACAAACUUUCCCUCUCUGUUUCUCAACAUGUGAGUGUUCGUGUUUAGAAAAUGAACGAACCUAGUGAAGUGUAUUUUUGUUUUGACACCAUCAAGAAUUUAUUAAAGUGACAAAAAUUGUUUUGUGAUUUAUAUUUUUUUUUUAUUAAAUAAAGAUCCAAAAAAUAAACAAAUUAUGAUAAGCAUUUCCCUUCAAAUGUUGGUGGAGGAAGAAGAAAGGACUGAAGAAAGAGCUGUUCGAAGGUAUUUAAGGGAUAAUUCCAAUCCUUUGGAGUUACUUGAACCAUUUUUCCAGCAGCAUUAUAGAUUAAACAAACCGGCUUUUAAGCUUCUGCUGGACAUCAUAACAAAUGCAGUACCUCCAACGAAACAGAAAUUUGGUAUUCCCCCCAUUGUCAAGCUCGCCGCUUGUUUGCGAUUUUUUGCAUAGGGUGGAUAUCAGAAAGGAGUGGGUAAAGAUUACAAAAUUGAAAUAGCGCAAAUCACUUUCAGUCUGGUACUGUCCGAAGUUCUCGGAAUACUUGAAGAGACUCUUUGUCCUCAGUGAAUAUCUUGGCCAAUGCCAGAUGAAGAAAUGGAAAUUGCUCAACAUUUUUAUGCAAAAUACAACCUACCAGGUGUUAUUGGAUGUAUUGAUGGAACACAUGUGAACAUCAUUUCACCGGCGGUAUAUAAACAUCUAUUUAACAGGAAAGGGAUCUUGCAGUUUAAUUGUUUUGCUUGUAAGUUAAAAUGAUUAAAACGUAUAUGUACAGGUAUGUGAUAACGCGCUCAGAAUUCGUUUCAUUGAUGCUACGCACCCAGGAGCUUGUCACGAUUCUUUUAUUUGGAAUGUGAGUGACCUUAGAUCAAAAAUGGAAAGUGACUAUUUGCGGGACAUCAAAAAUGUUUGGCUGCUGGGAGAUGCUGGGUAUCCCUUAGAGCCGUGGCUUUUGACACCGUACAGAACACCUGAGAGUGGCUCACCUCAAGCUAAAUUUAAUGAAGUUCAAU